RNAcentral lists this ribosomal RNA (253 nucleotides) under uncultured bacterium. Its description in RNAcentral is "partial 16S ribosomal RNA". It matches the Rfam family "Bacterial small subunit ribosomal RNA", at positions 524 to 776 of the family's 1533-position model. The record is from RNAcentral.
UACGGAGGGUGCGAGCGUUGUUCGGAAUCACUGGGCGUAAAGCGCGUCUAGGUGGGUUUAUAAGUCGGGUGUGAAAGACUCUGGCUCAACCAGAGAACGGCGCCCGAAACUGUAGGUCUUGAGUUAUGGAGAGGUGAGUGGAAUUCCUGGUGUAGCAGUGAAAUGCGUAGAGAUCAGGAGGAACAUCAGAGGCGAAGGCGACUCACUGGACAUAUACUGACACUGAAGCGCGAAAGCGUGGGGAGCAAACAGG